AGCGAACGCUGGCGGCAGGCUUAACACAUGCAAGUCGAGCGGGCAUCCUUGUGGUGUCAGCGGCAGACGGGUGAGUAACGCGUGGGAACGUGCCCUUCGGUUCGGAAUAACUCAGGGAAACUUGAGCUAAUACCGGAUACGCCCUUUUGGGGAAAGGUUUACUGCCGAAGGAUCGGCCCGCGUCUGAUUAGCUAGUUGGUGAGGUUACGGCUCACCAAGGCGACGAUCAGUAGCUGGUCUGAGAGGAUGAUCAGCCACACUGGGACUGAGACACGGCCCAGACUCCUACGGGAGGCAGCAGUGGGGAAUAGUGGACAAUGGGGGCAACCCUGAUCCAGCCAUGCCGGGUGAGUGAUAACAGCCUUAGGGUUGUAAAGCUCUUUUCUCCGGGACGAUAAUGACGGUACCGGAGGAAUAAGCCCCGGCUAACUUCGUG
This 436-nucleotide ribosomal RNA is filed under the name uncultured bacterium. Its description in RNAcentral is "partial 16S ribosomal RNA". It matches the Rfam family "Bacterial small subunit ribosomal RNA", at positions 29 to 507 of the family's 1533-position model. The record is from RNAcentral.